GACGAACGCUGGCGGCGUGCCUAAUACAUGCAAGUCGAACGCUUCUUUUCCCACCGGAGCUUGCUCCACCGGGAAAAGAGGAGUGGCGAACGGGUGAGUAACACGUGGGUAACCUGCCCAUCAGAAGGGGAUAACACUUGGAAACAGGUGCUAAUACCGUAUAACAAUCGAAACCGCAUGGUUUCGUUUUGAAAGGCGCUUUACGGUGCCGCUGAUGGAUGGACCCGCGGUGCAUUAGCUAGUUGGUGAGGUAACGGCUCACCAAGGCCACGAUGCAUAGCCGACCUGAGAGGGUGAUCGGCCACAUUGGGACUGAGACACGGCCUAAACUCCUACGGGAGGCAGCAGUAGGGAAUCUUCGGCAAUGGACGAAAGUCUGACCGAGCAACGCCGCGUGAGUGAAGAAGGUUUUCGGAUCGUAAAACUCUGUUGUUAGAGAAGAACAAGGGUGAGAGUAACUGUCCACCCCUUGACGGUAUCUAACCAGAAAGCCACGGCUAACUACGUGCCAGCAGCCGCCGUAA
Molecule: ribosomal RNA, 524 nt
Filed under: uncultured bacterium
Lineage: Bacteria
Description: partial 16S ribosomal RNA
Rfam family: Bacterial small subunit ribosomal RNA
Source: RNAcentral